RNAcentral lists this transfer RNA (74 nucleotides) under Minisyncoccota bacterium. RNAcentral describes it as "tRNA-Asp". It matches the Rfam family "tRNA". From Rfam's summary of the family: Transfer RNA (tRNA) molecules are approximately 80 nucleotides in length. Their secondary structure includes four short double-helical elements and three loops (D, anti-codon, and T loops). The record is from RNAcentral. Lineage: Bacteria; Bacillati; Minisyncoccota.
GCAGUCGUAGAUCAAUUGGUUAGAUCGUUCCCCUGUCACGGGAGAGGUUGCGGGUUCGAGCCCCGUCGACUGCG